This 301-nucleotide ribosomal RNA is filed under the name uncultured bacterium. RNAcentral describes it as "partial 16S ribosomal RNA". It matches the Rfam family "Bacterial small subunit ribosomal RNA", at positions 509 to 808 of the family's 1533-position model. The record is from RNAcentral.
CAGAGCCACGGGAAUACAGAGGGUGCGAGCGUUAAUCGGAUUUACUGGGCGUAAAGCGUGCGUAGGCGGCUUCUUAAGUCGGAUGUGAAAUCCCUGAGCUUAACUUAGGAAUUGCAUUCGAUACUGGGAAGCUAGAGUAUGGGAGAGGAUGGUAGAAUUCCAGGUGUAGCGGUGAAAUGCGUAGAGAUCUGGAGGAAUACCGAUGGCGAAGGCAGCCAUCUGGCCUAAUACUGACGCUGAGGUACGAAAGCAUGGGGAGCAAACAGGAUUAGAUACCCGUGUAGUCCCUGUCUCUUAUACC